GACGGAGGAUGCAAGUGUUAUCCGGAAUCACUGGGCGUAAAGCGUCUGUAGGUGGUUUAAUAAGUCAACUGUUAAAUCUUGAGGCUCAACUUCAAAAUCGCAGUCGAAACUAUUAGACUAGAGUAUAGUAGAGGUAAAGGGAAUUUCCAGUGGAGCGGUGAAAUGCGUAGAGAUCUGAAGGAAUACCGGUGGCGAAGGCACUUUACUGGGCUAUUACUGACACUCAGAGACGAAAGCUAGGGUAGCAAAUGGG
This 253-nucleotide ribosomal RNA is filed under the name uncultured bacterium. RNAcentral describes it as "partial 16S ribosomal RNA". It matches the Rfam family "Bacterial small subunit ribosomal RNA", at positions 524 to 776 of the family's 1533-position model. The record is from RNAcentral.